Molecule: long non-coding RNA, 647 nt
Filed under: Theobroma cacao (cacao)
Lineage: Eukaryota; Viridiplantae; Streptophyta; Magnoliopsida; Malvales; Malvaceae
Description: long non-coding RNA (TCAC_LNC001558)
Source: RNAcentral
UAUAAUUAUUUUUCUCAUUUUCCUUUUUCUUAUAUUUUUUAAUGUUUCAAAAUAUUUAUAAUAUAAAAUAAUUUUACUCAAAUAUAGACAUUUAUCUUUUUUGUGUGUGAGUAUGUAAAACUUUAUCUCACCCAACAAAAUGUAGGAUUUUUUCUAGUAAAAAAUAGAUAUAUGAUCAGAACAACUAUUUUAUCUUUUGUUUUAAUUAGAAUGUAGUAAAUUAAAAAUAAUGGUAAAAUUAUUAUGUUUCUUUUGAUACAGGUGGCCGUGGGUAGCUGAUUAAAACAAUUCAUAUGCCAUCUUAAAAGUGUGGAUCUUAAAGAGCUUAGAACGUUGAGCAUCGAUCAACUCAUAAGACUGCUUUACAUGUCACGACCCGGAACUCCCAUUGAGCCCGUGACAACCGUCGCGACGUCCCGAUAGGCACUCAUUACCCCAAAUGCCGAUCGAAACCCCGCAAGGCUUAGCAUCAGCUUCUGCAUCUCCCCAGUGAGCGACAGUUAUUAAAUCUCACAUUUCAAAAAAAUUCAUAAGUCAUUUCCAAAUCAAAACAAUAAAAUAUUACUUUUUGGCUCACAGGGGCAUUUUCGUCAUUUUUCUUCAAAAAUAUCGAAACUCGCCAAAAACAUGGUGUAAAAGCUAAAUAU